This 1018-nucleotide long non-coding RNA is filed under the name Malus domestica (apple). RNAcentral describes it as "long non-coding RNA (MDOM_LNC010375)". The record is from RNAcentral. Lineage: Eukaryota; Viridiplantae; Streptophyta; Magnoliopsida; Rosales; Rosaceae.
AUAAAUCAAAUGAUGGACUUAUGUCCAUUUACAACAAAUUGAAUUAAUCAAAUUACAUUCAAAUCUACACUACCAAACCCAAACAUUCAUAAUGUAUAUCGGCCAAUCACAUAGCUCAAUUAUCGUGGCCUUUGGUUCAUAAUCACCCUUUUCUUAAUCAAUCACAUUAACUAAGAAAACAUCUUUAAACAAUUGGUUUUUGGAUCCAUAGAAUUGAUUUAAAUGGAACUAAAUAGAAUGAAAAUCCAAUUCUCAUUAAAGAGACAAAACAAUUUUGUUCUCAUUUUAUUUGGGCCAAAAGGAAACUAUGACCACAACAAUUGGGCCAUAAUGCAAAUACAAAAACUUUUGGGGUCACUUUGUAUAAACAUAACUUCAUGUAAAUACAACUAGAUCCCAAAAUUUUAAUAAUGUAAAAACAUCAUUAAAGGAUCAAAACAAUUUGUCCUUUAGAGUUUUAGGGUCUUAACGUAAAAACGUAAACUUUUGGGCCAAAAUGCAAAUACACAAAAGUAUCUAAAACUUUAUGUAAUUGCACAAAAGGCCCUAAAAGCACCCCCACUAGGGGUGGCCGGCCAUUUGGAGUGAACAAGUGAAAAUUUUGAAAUUUUUGAAAAAGUUUUUGCAAGUUGAUUAAAGUACUUAAGCAAGUGGAAUGGUUGGUGAAGAAAGUCUUUGCAAUCUUUAAAGACUUGUAAGAAAUGUAAGAAAAUGUUUUGUAAACAUUAAUGACAUUUUCCUUUCUUCACCCUUAAGUUAUAAUACAAAAUUAAUAAACCAAAACUUUAUGAAAAACAUAAAACUUUUGAAUCAAAACUUCAAAACUUUUUGUUCUUGGCAAGAACUUCAAGAACAUGAAGAACAAACAUGAAAAACUCAUAAUAGCUCCAUGGAUGUUUUCAUUCACCAAAACUCAAUUUUUCACCUCUCAAAAGAGGGCUAAUAUCCUAGGGUACUUAGGGGUUCCAAAAGUCAUCUUAAAACCAUUUUAACAAGACAAACAUGAACCCAAAAAGUC